AGGGUUGUAAAGCACUUUAGUUGGGGAGGAAAGCCUCAAGGUUAAUAGCGUUGGGGGUGGACGUUACCCAAAGAAUAAGCACCGGCUAACUCCGUGCCAGCAGCCGCGGUAAUACGGGGGGUGCAAGAGUUAAUCGGAAUUACUGUGCGUAAAGGGUCUGUAGGUGGUUUGUUAAGUCAGAUGUGAAAGCCCAGGGCUCAACCUUGGAACGGCAUUUGAUACUGGCAAACUAGAGUACGGUAGAGGAAUGGGGAAUUUCUGGUGUAGCGGUGAAAUGCGU
Molecule: ribosomal RNA, 280 nt
Filed under: Francisella tularensis subsp. holarctica
Lineage: Bacteria; Pseudomonadati; Pseudomonadota; Gammaproteobacteria; Thiotrichales; Francisellaceae
Description: partial 16S ribosomal RNA
Rfam family: Bacterial small subunit ribosomal RNA
Source: RNAcentral